GGGCGUGAAUUUGGUUCUCGACGUGAUGAACUGAAGUUACGACUGCACGUAGAGGAUGAUCGUUGGCCUCUCAAAUCAUCGGUCACUAAUCAUAAUUGGCAAAUCCAAUGUUGAUUUCUGCACCAUGUUCGGCGCAAUGAGUUAUGCUCAGUGCCGCGUGGCGCAACCGUCCGUCAUCUAAUAAAAAGAUGACAAACUCAGCGGGGAUCGGAUUCGGAACUGCUGGGUAGCCAUAGGAUCCUGGCUCAUGAAGACGCUCUGGUUCAUGAGUGAGAUUAAGAGCUUUGCGACCACCCGGGUUUGUUAGUGGAACCGGGUGGUGCGAGAAACUCAAACACUGACUAAACGUGUAGAAGUUGUAAAAGACGGCAUUGCGGACGCGGGUUCGACUCCCGCCACGUCCAAUU
This 407-nucleotide transfer-messenger RNA is filed under the name Candidatus Thorarchaeota archaeon. It matches the Rfam family "transfer-messenger RNA". Rfam says of the family: Bacterial tmRNA, also known as 10Sa RNA or SsrA, is named for its dual tRNA and mRNA-like properties. Its role is to liberate the mRNA from a stalled ribosome. The record is from RNAcentral. Lineage: Archaea; Promethearchaeati; Candidatus Thorarchaeota.